RNAcentral lists this non-coding RNA (29 nucleotides) under Mus musculus (house mouse). The record is from RNAcentral. Lineage: Eukaryota; Metazoa; Chordata; Mammalia; Rodentia; Muridae.
UGGAAUAGUCUUGGAAUUUUGCUUACUCA